This 561-nucleotide ribosomal RNA is filed under the name uncultured bacterium. RNAcentral's name for it is "bacterial SSU rRNA". It matches the Rfam family "Bacterial small subunit ribosomal RNA", at positions 62 to 623 of the family's 1533-position model. The record is from RNAcentral.
UCGAACGAAGAGUGCAGACAGAUCCUUUCGGGGUGAAGAUUGUACUACUUAGUGGCGGACGGGUGAGUAACACGUGAGCAACCUGCCUUGCAGAGAGGGAUAACGAUUGGAAACGAUCGCUAAUACCACAUAACAUAUAUAUGCCGCAUGGUAUAUGUAUCAAAGAUUUAUCGCUGCAAGAUGGGCUCGCGGCUGAUUAGAUAGUUGGUGGGGUAAAGGCCUACCAAGUCGACGAUCAGUAGCCGGACUGAGAGGUUGAACGGCCACAUUGGGACUGAGACACGGCCCAGACUCCUACGGGAGGCAGCAGUGGGGGAUAUUGCACAAUGGGGGGAACCCUGAUGCAGCGACGCCGCGUGAGGGAAGAAGGUUUUAGGAUUGUAAACCUCUGUCUUUGGGGACGAAAAUGACGGUACCCAAGGAGGAAGCUCCGGCUAACUACGUGCCAGCAGCCGCGGUAAUACGUAGGGAGCGAGCGUUGUCCGGAAUUACUGGGUGUAAAGGGAGCGUAGGCGGGUAUGCAAGUUGAAUGUGAAAUGUAUGGGCUUAACCCAUAAACUG